GCCGAGGGUCGCUGCAUUGUAUAUCGACUCACUCUGGGAGCUACUUGAGGCCCCACGUCGGCAGGUCCCCGCGGCCGUGGCGUGCGCGUAGAAUGCUACCGGAAGUUUGAUCCUGGCUCAGGACGAACGCUGGCGGCGUGCUUAACACAUGCAAGUGGUGCGACGAACCAGGGCUUGCCCUGGGGCAAAGCCGCGAACGGGUGAGUAACACGUGGGUAACCUGCCCCGAUGACCGGGACAACCCGAGGAAACUCGGGCUAAUACCGGAUGUGGUGCACACACAUAAGUGUGUUCACUAAAGGAAGCUUCGGCCUCCGCAUUGGGAGGGGCCCGCGGCCCAUUAGCUUGUUGGUGGGGUCACGGCCUACCAAGGCGACGAUGGGUAGCUGGUCUGAGAGGACGAUCAGCCACACUGGGACUGAGACACGGCCCAGACUCCUACGGGAGGCAGCAGUGGGGAAUCUUGCGCAAUGCGCGAAAGCGUGACGCAGCAACGCCGCGUGGGGGAAGACGGCUUUCGGGUUGUAAACCCCUUUCAGGAGGGACGAAGGCUCACCGGUGAAUAGCCGUGUGGGUUGACGGUACCUCCAGAAGAAGCUCCGGCUAACUACGUGCCAGCAGCCGCGGUAAUACGUAGGGAGCGAGCGUUGUCCGGAAUCAUUGGGCGUAAAGCGCGCGUAGGCGGCCUCGUAAGUCCGUUGUGAAAGUCAAAGGCUCAACCUUUGAAAGCCGAUGGAUACUGCGAGGCUAGAGUCCGGAAGAGGCGAGUGGAAUUCCUGGUGUAGCGGUGGAAUGCGCAGAUAUCAGGAGGAACACCAAUAGCGAAGGCAGCUCGCUGGGACGGUACUGACGCUAAGGCGCGAAAGCGUGGGGAGCGAACAGGAUUAGAUACCCUGGUGGUCCACGCCGUAAACGAUGGGCACUAGGUGUGGGAGGUGUCGACUCCUCCCGUGCCGUCGCUAACGCACUAAGUGCCCCGCCUGGGGAGUACGGCCGCAAGGCUAAAACUCAAAGGAAUUGACGGGGGCCCGCACAAGCAGCGGAGCAUGUGGUUUAAUUCCACGCCACCGCGAAGAACCUUACCUGGGGCUUGACAUGUAAGGUGACCCCCCGUGGAAAACACCGUUUUUCCUUCCGGAACACCUUCCCCGGGUGGGGGCAUGGGCUGUCCCCCAGCUCCGGGCCUGGAGAAUGUUGGGGUUAAGUCCCCGCACCGAAGCGCAACCCCCCGUUCCCAUGGGUUGCCACGCAUUCCAGUUGGGGGGACUCCUGGGGGAAAACUGCCCGUUGAACAAACCCGGAAGGAAAGGCGGGGGAAUUAAACUUCCCAAGUCUCUCUAGGGCCCUUUUACGGGGUUGGGGGGCUCCCACCCUUGGGCCUCCCAUUGG
Molecule: ribosomal RNA, 1389 nt
Filed under: uncultured bacterium
Lineage: Bacteria
Description: partial 16S ribosomal RNA
Rfam family: Bacterial small subunit ribosomal RNA
Source: RNAcentral